ACCCGGAUAGCUCAGUUGGGUAGAGCAACUGAUUUUUAAUCAGUUUGUCGCAGGUUCGAUUCCUGCUCCAGGCAUCA
RNAcentral lists this transfer RNA (77 nucleotides) under hydrothermal vent metagenome. Its description in RNAcentral is "tRNA-Lys-TTT". It matches the Rfam family "tRNA". Rfam says of the family: Transfer RNA (tRNA) molecules are approximately 80 nucleotides in length. Their secondary structure includes four short double-helical elements and three loops (D, anti-codon, and T loops). The record is from RNAcentral.